UACGAAGGGAGCUAGCGUUGUUCGGAAUCACUGGGCGUAAAGCGCACGUAGGCGGAUGUGUCAGUCAGGGGUGAAAUCCCGGAGCUCAACUUCGGAACUGCCUUUGAUACAGCACGUCUUGAGUCCGGAAGAGGUGGGUGGGAAUUCCACGUGUAGCAGUGAAAUGCGUAGAGAUGUGGAGGAACACCGAUGGCGAAGGCAGCCCCCUGGGCUAACACUGACGCUCAUGCACGAAAGCGUGGGGAGCAAACAGG
RNAcentral lists this ribosomal RNA (254 nucleotides) under uncultured bacterium. RNAcentral describes it as "partial 16S ribosomal RNA". It matches the Rfam family "Bacterial small subunit ribosomal RNA", at positions 524 to 776 of the family's 1533-position model. The record is from RNAcentral.